Long non-coding RNA from Lynx canadensis (Canada lynx), 1409 nucleotides. RefSeq lists it as uncharacterized. The transcript is spliced from 2 exons. The record is from RefSeq and is a predicted model, not a curated record. NCBI's taxonomy places the organism in Eukaryota, Metazoa, Chordata, Mammalia, Carnivora, Felidae.
GGUGCUAGACGGACACAUCGUAGAGAAAGCGGCUCAGAAUUAACCGACGGACCGACUUAGAACACGAUCAAGCACACAGUGAAGCUGUGGUUUUGUUUCACGCAGGACAUCAGUUUCCCCCCGAGGCGACGGACACGGUGUGAUGCUUCCCAACUCCGCGACCCCGCACGACGUUAACCCUCAACCUCGGCUUCUGCACCCCCAGCACGAGGGUCACGACCGAACCCUGGCCUCACGAGGCUGUGAGGGUCACACGGGCGAAGUACUGGGCACAGGCCCUGGCCUAGAACGGCCCUCACUAUGUUUGGGGAGUCGCCAUCGUCACGCAAAAGAUAUCCCCUCAGUUCCUUUGAUAACUAUCUGGUCUGGUAGGUCCCGGAAAGCCGUGUGUCCGCUGUGACCCUGGGGAUCCCUCCAGAGAGAGUUCAGCUCCCCUCAACUCCUCCGCUUGACGUACGGUCAGACACAGUACUCGUCCCUACGGUCACCAGACGGUGGUGGGGGGCAGGAGCUGGUUAAGGCCAGAUGGCCAGCUGCCUGCCACAACCCCAGCGGACGUCUCACUGCAGCUAGAAAAGGUGUAGGGUGGUGACCUCGCUAACUGGAAGAAGACUGCACAGAUCUGUCCGUCCCAGCGCCAUCUUUACCAGAAGCGUAGAGCUUGAUGAAGCCCGAAACCAGCACGGCAAAUCCCACCCCCGCACAAGCUGCAGACAUCAGGGGUCAGAGUGGCUGGGGCUUUACGACCGGCCUGAAGAACUCUGGCAAACUCGCGCCGAGGUUCGAGCGCAUCAGCAGUUAGGACGGGGACUCGGGUGCUGACUCGGGGCACGUUCUCCUCCCUUGACCGGUGCUCACAGGCAGCCGGACAGAAGGGAUCAGAAGAUUCUCUGUGGUCUCACUGGGCUCGACCCGGUGGGUGGGGGCCUGUCCCUGAGUCUCCUCCAGGGGAAGGACUUGGUAGAGGGGGGAGGUCACCGGACGUAAGCGUCAGCCCAGCCAGGCCGGACACCGCAUCCGGCCACUUUGGCCUCGUGAAUGAUCCGUGGUGUCGGCCGUCACACGGCAACAUCAUUUCUCCCGCUAGCGGGGCACGGUCCUCCGGGUACGAAUUCCUACAUGAAACCAGGAGUCUUGCACGGCCCCCCCUCCAGGCUGAGCCACCCAACUGUUUUUCGUCUUUCACGGGAAGUCCUCCAGAGAGUUUGUGCCAAGUUUGGUUACUUUCACACCGACCCGGGGAAACACGCACGGGGAGGAGCCGGUGGGGAGGCAGGGGGGUCCUUGGCCAGAGCGGCUCACGCCAGCACCAAGACCCCGGAGCUGCGGGCAACCGGAAGUCUCCACAAAACGGCACCCAUGAGCGCUACGUUUGAGCCUGUCCGUGGUUUUAAUAAACGUGCGCGUGU